UGACCUCGGAUCAGGUAGGGAUACCCGCUGAACUUAAGCAUAUCAAUAAGCGGAGGAAAAGAAACCAACAGGGAUUGCCCCAGUAACGGCGAGUGAAGCGGCAAGAGCUCAAAUUUGAAAGCUGGCUCCUUCGGGGUCCGCAUUGUAAUUUGCAGAGGAUGUUUCGGGAGUGGCCCCCAUCUAAGUGUCCUGGAACGGACCGUCAUAGAGGGUGAGAAUCCCGUAUGGGAUGGGGUGCCCACGCCCGUGUGAAACUCCUUCGACGAGUCGAGUUGUUUGGGAAUGCAGCUCUAAAUGGGUGGUAAAUUUCAUCUAAAGCUAAAUAUUGGCCGGAGACCGAUAGCGCACAAGUAGAGUGAUCGAAAGAUGAAAAGCACUUUGAAAAGAGAGUUAAAAAGCACGUGAAAUUGUUGAAAGGGAAGCGUUUGCGAUCAGACUCGCCGACGGGGUUCAGCCUGCCUUCGGGCAGGUGUACUUCCCCGCCGGCGGGCCAGCGUCGGUUUGGGUGGCCGGUCAAAGGCCCUAGGAAUGUAACGCCUCUCGGGGCGUCUUAUAGCCUAGGGUGUCAUGCGGCCUACCCGGACCGAGGAACGCGCUUCGGCUCGGACGCUGGCAUAAUGGUCGUAAACGACC
This 633-nucleotide ribosomal RNA is filed under the name Penicillium sp. NRRL 32578. Its description in RNAcentral is "eukaryotic LSU rRNA". It matches the Rfam family "Eukaryotic large subunit ribosomal RNA", at positions 1 to 649 of the family's 3401-position model. RNAcentral also lists the same sequence under 1 other name. The record is from RNAcentral. Lineage: Eukaryota; Fungi; Ascomycota; Eurotiomycetes; Eurotiales; Aspergillaceae.